CGGAACGUAGCGCAGCUUGGUAGCGCACUUGCAUGGGGUGCAAGGGGUCGGAGGUUCAAAUCCUCUCGUUCCGACCA
Molecule: transfer RNA, 77 nt
Filed under: Kangiellaceae bacterium
Lineage: Bacteria; Pseudomonadati; Pseudomonadota; Gammaproteobacteria; Kangiellales; Kangiellaceae
Description: tRNA-Pro
Rfam family: tRNA
About the family: Transfer RNA (tRNA) molecules are approximately 80 nucleotides in length. Their secondary structure includes four short double-helical elements and three loops (D, anti-codon, and T loops). Further hydrogen bonds mediate the characteristic L-shaped molecular structure. tRNAs have two regions of fundamental functional importance: the anti-codon, which is responsible for specific mRNA codon recognition, and the 3' end, to which the tRNAs corresponding amino acid is attached (by aminoacyl-tRNA synthetases). tRNAs cope with the degeneracy of the genetic code in two manners: having more than one tRNA (with a specific anti-codon) for a particular amino acid; and 'wobble' base-pairing, i.e. permitting non-standard base-pairing at the 3rd anti-codon position.
Source: RNAcentral